AAAGUACUCUCUCCGUCCCAAAAUUCUUGUCUUAGAUUUGUCUAGAUACGGAUGUAUCAAGUCACAUUUUAGUAUUAGAUACAUCCGUAUCUAGACAAAUCUAAGACAAGAAAUUUGGGACAGAGGGAGUAGUUG
Triticum aestivum (bread wheat) is the source of this 135-nucleotide non-coding RNA. The record is from Rfam. Lineage: Eukaryota; Viridiplantae; Streptophyta; Magnoliopsida; Poales; Poaceae.